GGAGCUACCAUUUGAUUUUUAUGGGGGGCUAGGAUGAAAAAUUUUGUCCUGCAUUUUUUUUUAGUUGUAAUCUCUGUCCUGCCUUUUUAUUUUUCACUCUAUUCGGUCCUGCCUUUUUUUUUAUUAGUUUAUCCUGACUUUUUUUUACCUAAAUUGUCAUCCUGCCUUUUUUUUGCAAAGUGUCUCAUCUGCCUUUUUUUUUUACUCAAA
This 210-nucleotide long non-coding RNA is filed under the name Mytilus galloprovincialis (Mediterranean mussel). Lineage: Eukaryota; Metazoa; Mollusca; Bivalvia; Mytilida; Mytilidae. The record is from RNAcentral.